This is a small nuclear RNA of Ochotona princeps (American pika), 107 nucleotides long. Lineage: Eukaryota; Metazoa; Chordata; Mammalia; Lagomorpha; Ochotonidae. The record is from RefSeq and is a predicted model, not a curated record.
GUGCUCGCUUCGGCAGCACAUAUACUAAAAUUGUAACAAUACAGAGAAGAUUAGCAAAAAUGUUUGUGCAAUGUUUACUACGUUGAUAGGAAGCAUAUAUUUCUUUU